GAUGAACGCUAGCGGCAGGCCUAAUACAUGCAAGUCGAACGGUAACAUGAGUAGCAAUACUUGAUGACGAGUGGCGCACGGGUGCGUAACGCGUUUGCAAUCUACCUUUAACAGGUGAAUAGCUCGAAGAAAUUCGGAUUAAUACACCAUAAUAUUGAGAAGUGGCAUCACUUUUCAAUUAAAGCUCCGGCGGUUAAAGAUGAGCAUGCGUGACAUUAGCUAGUUGGUAGAGUAAUAGCCUACCAAGGCAACGAUGUCUAGGGGAUCUGAGAGGAUUAACCCCACACUGGUAUGAGACAGGGACCAGACUCCUAC
Molecule: ribosomal RNA, 315 nt
Filed under: uncultured bacterium
Lineage: Bacteria
Description: bacterial SSU rRNA
Rfam family: Bacterial small subunit ribosomal RNA
Source: RNAcentral